GAACGCUGGCGGCGUGCUUAACACAUGCAAGUCGAACGGAAAGGCCCUGCUUUUGUGGGGUGCUCGAGUGGCGAACGGGGGAGUAACACGGGAGUAACCUGCCCUUGACUUUGGGAUAACUUCAGGAAACUGGGGCUAAUACCGGAUAGGAGCUCCUGCUGCAUGGUGGGGGUUGGAAAGUUUCGGCGGUUGGGGAUGGACUCGCGGCUUAUCAGCUUGUUGGUGGGGUAGUGGCUUACCAAGGCUUUGACGGGUAGCCGGCCUGAGAGGGUGACCGGCCACAUUGGGACUGAGAUACGGCCCAGACUCCUACGGGAGGCAGCAGUGGGGAAUAUUGCACAAUGGGCGGAAGCCUGAUGCAGCAACGCCGCGUGCGGGAUGACGGCCUUCGGGUUGUAAACCGCUUUCGCCUGUGACGAAGCGUGAGUGACGGUAAUGGGUAAAGAAGCACCGGCUAACUACGUG
RNAcentral lists this ribosomal RNA (465 nucleotides) under uncultured bacterium. Its description in RNAcentral is "partial 16S ribosomal RNA". It matches the Rfam family "Bacterial small subunit ribosomal RNA", at positions 31 to 507 of the family's 1533-position model. The record is from RNAcentral.